Molecule: small RNA, 86 nt
Filed under: Salmonella enterica
Lineage: Bacteria; Pseudomonadati; Pseudomonadota; Gammaproteobacteria; Enterobacterales; Enterobacteriaceae
Also listed under: 3 other names
Description: partial RtT sRNA
Rfam family: RtT RNA
About the family: This family represents a bacterial cis-regulatory element known as RtT RNA.
Source: RNAcentral
AUAUCUCUCUGUACGGGAAGGAUGAGAAGCUUCGACCAAGGUUCGAUUCGAGCGCAGCGAGAAAGCGUUGCCGCAGGCAACGACCC